UCCGGGGCGGAGGCCAAAGGGAGUCUCCCGCGUGGCUGGGGUCCCCACCCCGGCCCGCGCCCUCUGCCGGGCUCCGUGAGCUCCUUGUCCUUCGCGCUGCUGGAAGUACUGAGCACAUCUGGAGCCGGACAGUGGUGGACCUUGCGAGUCCUGGCCCAGCCUUUCCCUGGGGCUGUCCGGGCCACUUCUUCCAGAGAUCAGUGCUCCGGCUCUUAGGAAAAGGAAGCAGAGGAUGUCCCCGCCGGGAGGGACCUUAGGAUGUGGAAUGGGGGAAAAGGCUGGAAGUGGGGGAGACCCAGAACAUAACACGUAAGAACUGGAAGGGAUCCCAGGGCACAGGGAAUGCUAGAACUGGGAAGAGAACUAGAACAUAACACGUAAGAACUGGAAGGGAUCCCAGGUCACAGGAGAAUGCUAGAACUGGGAAGAGAACUAGAACAUAACACGUAAGGACUGGAAGGGAUCCCAGGGCACAGGGAAUGCUAGAACUGGGAAGAGAACUAGAACAUAACACGUAAGAACUGGAAGGGAUCCCAGGUCACAGGAGAAUGCUAGAACUGGGAAGAGAACUAGAACAUAACACGUAAGAACUGGAAGGGAUCCCAGGUCACAGGAGAAUGCUAGAACUGGGAAGAGAACUAGAACAUAACACGUAAGAACUGGAAGGGAUCCCAGGUCACAGGAGAAUGCUAGAACUGGGAAGAGAACUAGAACAUAACACGUAAGAACUGGAAGGGAUCCCAGGUCACAGGAGAAUGCUAGAACUGGGAAGAGAACUAGAACAUAACACGUAAGAACUGGAAGGGAUCCCAGGUCACAGGAGAAUGCUAGAACUGGGAAGAGAACUAGAACAUAACACGUAAGAACUGGAAGGGAUCCCAGGUCACAGGAGAAUGCUAGAACUGGGAAGAGAACUAGAACAUAACACGUAAGAACUGGAAGGGAUCCCAGGUCACAGGGAAUGCUAGAACUGGGAAGAGAACUAGAACAUAACAGGUAAGGACUGGAAGGGAUCCCAGGGCACAGGGAAUGCUAGAACUGGGAAGAGAACUAGAACAUAACACGUAAGAACUGGAAGGGAUCCCAGGUCACAGGGAAUGCUAGAACUGGGAAGAGAACUAGAACAUAACACGUAAGGACUGGAAGGGAUCCCAGGUCACAGGAGAAUGCUAGAACUGGGAAGAGAACUAGAACAUAACACGUAAGAACUGGAAGGGAUCCCAGGUCACAGGAGAAUGCUAGAACUGGGAAGAGAACUAGAACAUAACACGUAAGAACUGGAAGGGAUCCCAGGUCACAGGAGAAUGCUAGA
This is a long non-coding RNA of Antechinus flavipes (yellow-footed antechinus), 1312 nucleotides long. RefSeq lists it as uncharacterized. The transcript has 5 exons. Lineage: Eukaryota; Metazoa; Chordata; Mammalia; Dasyuromorphia; Dasyuridae. The record is from RefSeq and is a predicted model, not a curated record.